RNAcentral lists this long non-coding RNA (485 nucleotides) under Nicotiana benthamiana. RNAcentral's name for it is "long non-coding RNA (NBEN_LNC040183)". The record is from RNAcentral. Lineage: Eukaryota; Viridiplantae; Streptophyta; Magnoliopsida; Solanales; Solanaceae.
UCCUCUCUCUCCAGGGCGACAUGGUGUAGUAUAGGCUGCCAUGGAUGCGCAUCCCUCUCCAUCAAGUUAACAUCAAAAGGGUUAAGAUUGAAUACCAAAAACCUUUGUUUGGAUCUCGUUUCCGAAUCUGCCGUCUAUGUUGUUCGUGAAGAAAUCACUGUUGUAAUAGAAUUUUGGAAGAUUCUAAGAAUCCAGUAGCGGAGCAGAAAUUUAAAGAGUGUGAGUGUGAUUCUUGGAGUUGUAAAGGAACGGUAGCACAACAGCGUGUGAAAGUGUUGCUGCUUUGUGAGAAAGAUGAAGAAGAAUAGCCACUGUCCAUUUUGACAUUCUUUCGACCCCUUUUUUAUAUUACAUUAUUAUUAUGGGAUUUUUAUUCAAUUUGGGGCUACAACAAUUUGGUUUUUUAUUAAUAUAUUUCAAUAUAUUUUUAAGGUAUUAGGAUGUAUUUUUUUGUAUUCGUUGUCUAUUUUUUCAGUGUAAUUCAG